This is a long non-coding RNA of Erinaceus europaeus (western European hedgehog), 640 nucleotides long. RefSeq lists it as uncharacterized. The record is from RefSeq and is a predicted model, not a curated record. The transcript has 5 exons. Lineage: Eukaryota; Metazoa; Chordata; Mammalia; Eulipotyphla; Erinaceidae.
UCAGAUGCUGCAUGCCUCUUUCUCAACAGAUGUGUGCCUGGAGGUCCGCUGACCCAAAUGAAAAGUCUAGAAAUUGUAGUGUGGUGAAAAGAUCAUAUGACAGGACUAACUUUACCUCUACUAUGCAGCAUACAGGAUGUGCCUGGAUGUGUGAGUUACCAGUGGGAUGGAAGAGGCAGCCAGCAAGAAGCAGGAGAAAGGAGAAUCAGCUGCUGCCUGUUUACACAGUACAUGUUGCACAUAUUCUUCUCAGCCACAAGUUAUGGUGCCAGUCAAGACAUGUCAGUGACUACCAGGUCUGUCUGAUGGAGGUGACAGCCACUAUUAUCCAGGGCCUUCCAAAGGACUCCUACACAUCCCUCCAGUCCCAAUUCCUAUGCAAACCCUUCCUUGACCUUUGCAACUCCUCACUCUCACACCAGAGAGCAAUGCUGAUGACCUUACUCCUUGUACACCCUGUUCUCUGUGCUACCUACCACAUUGCUGGUAAAUCAUCAGUGUUGCUACUAUUUGGUUCUUCUGGUUUUUCGGUUUGUUGUUUUGGUUUUUUGUUUGUUUGUUUGUUUGUUUAUUUGCCUCCAGGAUUAUUGCUGGUGCUUGGUACCUGCACUAUGAAUUCACCACUCCUGGCAGCCAUUCC